This is a long non-coding RNA of Drosophila mojavensis, 1045 nucleotides long. RefSeq lists it as uncharacterized. The record is from RefSeq and is a predicted model, not a curated record. The transcript has 2 exons. NCBI's taxonomy places the organism in Eukaryota, Metazoa, Arthropoda, Insecta, Diptera, Drosophilidae.
UUUUUAUAAAUUUUUACAGCUGUUUUAACGAUAAUAUAUUUUACGUAAAGUAUCGAUAUUUACUUUAAUCGACUAACCUUCUCUUAAAAAUUCAUACCGAUAUUGGCGCGUUAUCUUCUCUUCUUGUGAAAUUCGUUUGCGUAGUAAAUCAUGCCGAAGGAAGUUUAUAAGCAAAAAGUGCGAGAUGUGUGGCUACGGGCUACAGAAUUCAAGGAUUGGCUAAGGAAGGACCCCACAGACGCAACACGGGCGUAUUGCAGUUAUUGCAAUUGCACAAUAACUGCCAAAUUAAUUGACUUGCAAGCGCAUGCGUCUACAAAAAAGCACGCAGGCUCAAUGGAGGGCUAUGUGCAAAAAAACAAAUUAUCUUUUGUUCAAUUGCCCACAAAGACAAUUGAACAGGAGGCAGUUUUUGGUCUAUUUGUCAAGGAUAUGAUUUAUGUUUAAUAAAAAUACCUAUAGUUUGGUACAUAUAUACAUAUGUAAUUAAAAUCAGCUUUUAUGUCAACCUUUUUCCCUUGAAUCCAGCUUUUUUCAGCUUUUUUUUUCCUUGAUCCAGCUUUUUUUGCUCAGAAAAAAAAUGACAUCACUGUUCGUAACAUAACCGAAAAUAUUAUACAGACACGACCUCGCUCUGAGUGGCUCUCUUUGUUUUGUUUUGAAGCACAUAAAGACUCUCAGCAAAAAACAGUUUGAAUAAAAAACUCAACAGAAAUGAUCUUUGGCUUCGAGUGCAUAAACUGAAGCCGCGUGAAGCAAAUGAGGCGUGGAAAAAUUAUUAUCCGAUGCUAGGUCACAUGCUAACUUUCUUUUUAGGCGCUCUCCAGCAUCUGAAUAGUUUAGCUUCGGUCUACCCAUUGCAGAUGAAGAUGCCAGAUCCGUCACAUUUUCAUCUAACGUCAAAGUAAUUGACUGCGAAGGCCACCUUACGUGUCGAGCCUUAAAUCUUUGCAACAUUCGAUUGCACUGCGGCAAAUAUUUUUUUACGUGAUUCAGAAAAAUCCUGAUUUUUUCAGUAAAUAUAUCCACCUGAGCAGCACUGAGA